CAAAAGAGACCGAUAGAAUAAGACUAGGCUUACAAAGAAUAAGUCCUGGGGUCCAUUGCUUCAACUAAAAAACCUUUUAGGCAAUGCUCCAACAUAACUGUUAUCAAAGUGACUGAAACAAGUA
Octopus sinensis (East Asian common octopus) is the source of this 124-nucleotide long non-coding RNA. RefSeq lists it as uncharacterized. The transcript has 3 exons. The record is from RefSeq and is a predicted model, not a curated record. Lineage: Eukaryota; Metazoa; Mollusca; Cephalopoda; Octopoda; Octopodidae.